This 791-nucleotide ribosomal RNA is filed under the name uncultured Staphylococcus sp. Its description in RNAcentral is "bacterial SSU rRNA". It matches the Rfam family "Bacterial small subunit ribosomal RNA", at positions 129 to 905 of the family's 1533-position model. Lineage: Bacteria; Bacillati; Bacillota; Bacilli; Caryophanales; Staphylococcaceae. The record is from RNAcentral.
CCUAUAAGACUGGGAUAACUUCGGGAAACCGGAGCUAAUACCGGAUAAGAUUUUGAACCGCAUGGUUCAAUAGUGAAAGACGGCCUUGCUGUCACUUAUAGAUGGAUCCGCGCCGUAUUAGCUAGUUGGUAAGGUAACGGCUUACCAAGGCAACGAUACGUAGCCGACCUGAGAGGGUGAUCGGCCACACUGGAACUGAGACACGGUCCAGACUCCUACGGGAGGCAGCAGUAGGGAAUCUUCCGCAAUGGGCGAAAGCCUGACGGAGCAACGCCGCGUGAGUGAUGAAGGUCUUCGGAUCGUAAAACUCUGUUAUCAGGGAAGAACAAACGUGUAAGUAACUGUGCACGUCUUGACGGUACCUGAUCAGAAAGCCACGGCUAACUACGUGCCAGCAGCCGCGGUAAUACGUAGGUGGCAAGCGUUAUCCGGAAUUAUUGGGCGUAAAGCGCGCGUAGGCGGUUUUUUAAGUCUGAUGUGAAAGCCCACGGCUCAACCGUGGAGGGUCAUUGGAAACUGGAAAACUUGAGUGCAGAAGAGGAAAGUGGAAUUCCAUGUGUAGCGGUGAAAUGCGCAGAGAUAUGGAGGAACACCAGUGGCGAAGGCGACUUUCUGGUCUGUAACUGACGCUGAUGUGCGAAAGCGUGGGGAUCAAACAGGAUUAGAUACCCUGGUAGUCCACGCCGUAAACGAUGAGUGCUAAGUGUUAGGGGGUUUCCGCCCCUUAGUGCUGCAGCUAACGCAUUAAGCACUCCGCCUGGGGGAGUACGACCGCAAGGUUGAAACUCAAA